Molecule: long non-coding RNA, 5257 nt
Filed under: Brassica rapa (field mustard)
Lineage: Eukaryota; Viridiplantae; Streptophyta; Magnoliopsida; Brassicales; Brassicaceae
Description: long non-coding RNA (BRAP_LNC000227)
Source: RNAcentral
UCUCUGGAUCCAGCGACAAUGGAGGUGUUCUACUACGUGGUGUUCGGGGUCCUUGGCAUCGUCGUGGCGACGUUGGAGCUAAGCAAGAACAAUAAGGACCGGAUCAACACUUCUUCUGCUUUCACUUCUUUCAAGAACAACUACCUCGUCGUUUACUCUCUCAUGAUGGGUACGAUCCUCAAUAUUCGAUCCGAUCUGGUUGAAAUAAUGUGUUUGGGUGGGAGAUUCAGAUCCGUGUUUGUUGUUUUUGUCGUGUUUACUUGCAAAGUAUUGUCUUUUUAGAAAAGAGUUGUAUAACUUUAUGGUUUUGAAUUGCUUCACUUGGUUGGUAGAGAAGGUAACAGAGGAUUAAGAUGUGUAAACAGUGAUGUUACUCUACUAGUAUGAGUUAGAGAUUGGUUGCUAAAACCAAAGUUUCAAAUUUGUAGAAGGUUUUGGUAUUUGUCUAACAUCAAUGAUGUAACCGGAGUUUGAUAUUUUGUGAAUGGCAGCGGGUGACUGGUUACAGGGUCCAUAUGUGUACUAUCUUUACAGUACUUAUGGGUUCAGUAAAGGGGAUAUUGGGCAGCUUUUCAUUGCUGGUUUUGGUUCCUCUAUGCUCUUUGGUACUAUUGUUGGAUCUCUAGCCGACAAACAGUGAGUUUCCUCUCUCUCUCUCUCUCAUGCUUUUAUUAUGUUCUUGUACUUAAUGGAAAAUCUCAACAACUCUCUUUUAGUAAUUGCGUAAUGGUGUGCUUUGUAUCAGGGGUCGUAAGAGAGCGUGUGUUACUUACUGUAUUACCUACAUAUUGAGCUGCAUCACCAAGCAUUCUCCUCAAUACAAGGUUUUGAUGUUGGGCCGUGUGUUGGGAGGCAUUUCUACUUCCCUUCUCUUUUCAUCUUUUGAAUCCUGGCUAGUUGCUGAGCACAAUAAGGUAAAGUUACCAAAGGUUUAUGUUGAGUUAAAGCCCUUAUCCUAAUAAAUAUAUUUCUCUUGUGAUGUAUUCAGAGGGGCUUUGAGCAGCAAUGGCUGUCUAUAACAUUCUCAAAGGCUGUGUUUUUUGGAAAUGGUCUUGUUGCUAUUAUCGCUGGAUUGUUUGGGAACUUGCUAGUGCAUUCCUUCUCUCUUGGUCCUGUUGCGCCAUUUGACGCUGCUGCAUGCGUUCUUGCUAUUGGAAUGGCUGUCAUUCUAUCUUCAUGGUCUGAAAACUAUGGUGAUCCUUCUGACAACAAGGACUUGCUUACUCAGUUUAGAGGUGCUGCAAUCGCCAUUGCCUCUGGUGAGUUUUGAAUUCAGUUUGCCUCUUGAGUCUUGAAGAAUGUUUGAUGACUUGGAAAGUAAGGAGUUUCUGUAUCUUUGAUCAGAUGAAAAGAUCGCACUUUUGGGUGCCAUCCAGUCGCUUUUUGAAGGAUCUAUGUAUACUUUUGUAUUCCUCUGGACUCCUGCUCUAAGCCCCAACGAUGAGGAGAUUCCCCAUGGUUUCAUUUUUGCUACGUUUAUGCUCGCUUCGAUGCUCGGCAGUUCUCUUGCUUCUCGUCUAUUGUCUCGCUCAUCUCCCAAAGUAGAGAGCUACAUGCAGAUAGUCUUCCUAGUUUCUGCUGCCUCACUAUUGCUUCCAAUUAUAAUGGCUGUAAGUUUCUUAAAAAUGCUUAGCGUGACUUCUUAUUUACCUGUUGUUCUAUUCUGUGACUCACUGUUUGCAACCGGAUGUGUGAUUUAGUCAUUAGUAGCACCUUCCAAAGUAAAAGGUGGAGGAAUCUCUUUCUCGGGUUGCUUCCAGCUUCUUGGGUUCUGUAUCUUUGAGGCGUGUGUAGGACUGUUUUGGCCAUCCAUAAUGAAGAUGAGAUCCCAAUACAUACCUGAGGAAGCCAGAAGCACAAUCAUGAACUUUUUCCGGAUUCCUCUGAACAUCUUUGUCUGUGUUGUCUUGUACAAUGUAAGUCUCCUCUAGGCUUCCUUUUCUGCGUUAUCCUAUGACCUGUGUCUUGGUAUUGACUAGUUUUUAUGUGCUCUGAAGGUGAAUGCGUUCCCAAUCACAGUCAUGUUUGGAAUGUGCUCUAUCUUCCUCUUUGUUGCUAGUCUCCUGCAAAGAAGGCUCAUGAUGAUUGUUGACAAGCCAAGUAUGUUGUCUCUAUGUUUCAUUUAGCUCUGAGCUAUCUACUUGCCCUAGCAAGCUUUCCACUUACAAUGAGUUUAAUGAUUUUGCAGAGACAAAUGAUUGGACACCUCUUAAUGAAAGAAACACAGAAGAUGAUCCUCUCAACGUUUGAUGAAUAAACUAUACAUUAUGCACAUUCUGGAUUCAAUAAUGGAGACAGAUAGAAGACAAGGAAAAGUUUUAAGGUUGUUUCUUAUGGCAAUAUAGCAUGCAACAAUUCGAACAGAAAGUUCAUAGCAGUGAAGUUUGAUUAUUUAAUUUUCUCGGCUAUUAUUUAUUGUUGUUGUUAGAAUUUAAAGACACGUUUAUUUUUGUAUGCAAUCAAUGAGGCAUUGUUUCUACCAUUUUGUUUGAGCUCCGUUUCUUUGAAGGCUUGCUGUUAAUUCCUUUUUGAAAUUUCAUAAAAUGGUCAAAGGAGGAUGAAAAGAAAACCUGGAAGUGAAUAAACGUUAAAAAAUCUGAAGAAGAACUCAUCAGCCGAAACGCCAGCUUGAAUUAAGAAAGAAUAGAGUCGUUAAUGAAUGCAUCUUUGAACCAAUGCAGCCCAUUAUGUGAGGUGAAAGCUCGAUUAAUCCAUAUCAGCCAUUCUGGAUUGUAUCUCUGCUUUGCUUCCAACUCUUCGGUAAAACAGAACACAGAGACAGCGAAGUUUUCUUCUGUUUCUAGUCAUUUACGGAUGAGCGUGACCGUCGUCAAAAUGAUACCAUUUAUAGUCAUCAAUCAACUGCAGGAACAGUAACACAUAUGCUUAUCCAAAGGACUCAUCAGAAUAAAUAGUGAGAGCAAUCAAGCGACCGACCUUGGCGUGAGCAGUGUAGUGGCCACCACUGUAAUGGUUGCUAAAUGCGUAGAGAUCAUAUAAGCAAGACUCCACGUUCUUGUUCUUGUCGAUAUCGUUAAUUGGGAAGUCCCAUACUCCCAUGUUUUUUCAUAGACUUGUCUAAAAGCAUCUUCAAAAACACAUUAUAUUUUGAACUUAAUUUCAAAAAUAUAUUUUUAUUUUAUAUUAUUAUCUUUAUAUUUUUUUAUAAUUAAUUAAAUUUAUAUAAUGUUUAUAAAUAACUAGAACAUAUGUAAAAUAUUACAAUAAUAUUAAUUAAUAAAAUGUUACACUAAAUAUAAAAGGGAAAAUUUAUAUAAUGUUACACUACGGCUCUGAGGUCAAAUACACUCAUGGAUCUCGAUUAUCAAUCUUUCUUACAUUCGGUAAUGCCAUAUACAUCAGACAUUGCAGUCCUUUAUCAAUAUCUUGAUGGCGUCUCAUGAGCUAUGUCGCCGUGGAUUAUACCACGCACCGGAAGAUAUAUUAGGUCAUGGACUUCGACUACACGAGCUUAUGGACUGCGAUCAUGAAGGCUGAUCUUUCCUUUUUUUUCACUAGCCCGUACUACAAUCUAGUCGGUCCAUGCUAGUGUUAUAGAUUUGAUAGAUAAUCUGUAUCAAUCAACUAACCUCUCUUAGGCUGGUUUAGUAUAAAGUAAACACAAGGAAUUCAAAUUUCUUUUAUAAGUAUAUGGACUGAAUUGGAUUGUCCUUAUACAACUCAUUUACAUAAUAUAUGCAGCUGCUUUGUUUCAGUCUAUGAACAACUUAGGAACAAUGUUAUUCUUUAUCCAGUGAUCCAUAUGCUGCUUACUACAUCAUUAUAUGUCAAUCUAAUUUCUUUCUUAUGACCAGACCUUUAUCAAUUUCGAAAAUAUGUAGCAGCAUCCACCACAUAGGAGUUUAUCUCCUUAUAAUCUGUUCCAUGGUCUCUGUGAGUAUCCUUGUGUAACAAGCUAUGAUCUAAUGCUGUUUAGUAGGAAACAUGAACACUUUUAGACCAUGUGAUCAUGUACCAUAUCUCACGGUUUCUAAACCAUUGAUUUUAUAAAAUGUCCAUUUAUAUUUGGAACUCUUUAUAUUUUUAUGUUUUGUAAAAUAUAUUUAGAGUAGAAUAUAUUAUAUUAUAAUAUAGAUGUUUGAUAAUAGUUUUUUAUCUGUACAUAAUAUUAUAUUUAUAAUUUUAUAACUUGAUGCAAUUUGAUGUAAUUGUAGUAUUUAUAUAUUAACCUAUUGAUAUUUUUGUUUAUUUAUUUAAAAAUGAUUUAAUUUUUUACAGUAGGUUUUUAUGAAUUAUUAUUAAUUUUAUGAUAUUUGGGUUUCUUGAAAAUUAUAUUGUAGCAGAUUAAUAUAUACUAUAUAUUACAGUUUGUGUUUUUAUUUUCAGCAAAAAAUAACAACAAUUCAUUGUAAUUAAUUUAUUUUUUUUUAUUUUAAGUGAAGUGGAAGAUUUGUAAAUAAGAAAGUAAUGCAAUGGCUAAAUGUGUAAAUAAAAAGAAAUAUUUAAUCUGCUAUCCAAGUUUGCAAACGACAUAAUCUGUAAAUGAGAAAAAAAUACAGUGACUAAAUAUGUAAAUAAAAAAGAUAUUUAAUCUGCUAUCAUUGUUUCCAAACAAUUUGCAUUUAAUCUACUAUCUAAAUUUUCAAACAGUACCAAAAGGUACUUCAGUUUAAUAAUAUAGAUGUUUGGUUUAGUUUGGUUAUGUUUAGGUUAUUGGGUUAAACUAAACCAAACUGAAUCCGAAAUUCAAAGAAUCACAAUAUGAAAGACAUGUUAUUAGAUGGAUCCAAACCGAACCGAUACCUUUAAUUUUGGGUCGGGUUCGGGUUUUGGUUUGUAAGCGAGGCCUAGUACAAGUAUAGAUAGUAGAGAAUAGAAAGAUCUGAAUCUCAAAGAAGCACUUCUCCCCAUCUCUCAAUUUCUCCGGAUCCAGCGACAAUGGAGGUGUUCUACUACGUGGUGUUCGGGGUCCUCGGCAUCGUCGUGGCGACGUUGGAGCUGAGCAAGAACAACAAGGAUCGGAUCAACACUUCUUCAGCAUUCACUUCUUUCAAGAACAACUACCUCGUCGUUUACUCUCUCAUGAUGGGUACGAUCCCCAAUUUUUAUUAUCUCUAGAAAAUGUUUGAUUCGAUCCGAUCUGAUCUGAUCUGGUUAAAGUAAUGUGGAAUUUGGGUGGGAGAUUCAGAUCCGUGCUUGUUGUUGGUUUUGAAUUGCUUCACUUGUUAGAGAAGAUAACCAAUUAUUGAAGAUCUGUUAACAAUAAUGUUACCUACUACUAUGGGUUAGAGAUUGG